Molecule: ribosomal RNA, 800 nt
Filed under: Pseudooceanicola sp.
Lineage: Bacteria; Pseudomonadati; Pseudomonadota; Alphaproteobacteria; Rhodobacterales; Paracoccaceae
Description: bacterial SSU rRNA
Rfam family: Bacterial small subunit ribosomal RNA
Source: RNAcentral
ACACAUGCAGUCGAGCGCACCUUCGGGUGAGCGGCGGACGGGUGAGUAACGCGUGGGAACGUACCCAGAUCUGCGGAAUAGCCACUGGAAACGGUGAGUAAUACCGCAUACGCCCUUCGGGGGAAAGAUUUAUCGGAUUUGGAUCGGCCCGCGUUAGAUUAGAUAGUUGGUGGGGUAAUGGCCUACCAAGUCUACGAUCUAUAGCUGGUUUUAGAGGAUGAUCAGCCACACUGGGACUGAGACACGGCCCAGACUCCUACGGGAGGCAGCAGUGGGGAAUCUUAGACAAUGGGCGCAAGCCUGAUCUAGCCAUGCCGCGUGAGUGAUGAAGGCCUUAGGGUCGUAAAGCUCUUUCGCCAGGGAUGAUAAUGACAGUACCUGGUAAAGAAACCCCGGCUAACUCCGUGCCAGCAGCCGCGGUAAUACGGAGGGGGUUAGCGUUGUUCGGAAUUACUGGGCGUAAAGCGCGCGUAGGCGGACUAUUAAGUCAGGGGUGAAAUCCCGGGGCUCAACCCCGGAACUGCCCUUGAUACUGGUAGUCUUGAGUUCGAGAGAGGUGAGUGGAACUCCGAGUGUAGAGGUGAAAUUCGUAGAUAUUCGGAAGAACACCAGUGGCGAAGGCGGCUCACUGGCUCGAUACUGACGCUGAGGUGCGAAAGUGUGGGGAGCAAACAGGAUUAGAUACCCUGGUAGUCCACACCGUAAACGAUGAAUGCCAGUCGUCGGGUAGCAUGCUAUUCGGUGACACACCUAACGGAUUAAGCAUUCCGCCUGGGGAGUACGGUCGCAAGAUUAAAACU